GAUGAACGCUGGCGGCGUGCUUAACACAUGCAAGUCGAACGGAAAGGCCACAGCUUGCUGUGGUACUCGAGUGGCGAACGGGUGAGUAACACGUGGGUGAUCUGCCCUGUACUUCGGGAUAAGCUUGGGAAACUGGGUCUAAUACCGGAUAGGAAUCACAUGUGGGUGUGUGGUUGGAAAGCUUUUGCGGUAUGGGAUGAGCUCGCGGCCUAUCAGCUUGUUGGUGGGGUAAUGGCCUACGAAGGCGUCGACGGGUAGCCGGCCUGAGAGGGUGUACGGCCACAAUGGGACUGAGAUACGGAGCAGAAUGGUACGGGAGGCAGCAGUGGGGAAUAUUGCACAAUGGGCGCGAGCCAGAUGCAGCGAUGCCGCGUGGGUGAUGACGGCAUUCGGGUUGUAAACUCCUUUCGUCGGGGACGAAGCGAAAGUGACGGUACCUGGAUAAGAAGCACCGGCUAACUACGUG
Molecule: ribosomal RNA, 466 nt
Filed under: uncultured bacterium
Lineage: Bacteria
Description: partial 16S ribosomal RNA
Rfam family: Bacterial small subunit ribosomal RNA
Source: RNAcentral